RNAcentral lists this ribosomal RNA (497 nucleotides) under uncultured bacterium. RNAcentral's name for it is "partial 16S ribosomal RNA". It matches the Rfam family "Bacterial small subunit ribosomal RNA", at positions 28 to 507 of the family's 1533-position model. The record is from RNAcentral.
GACGAACGCUGGCGGCGUGCCUAAUACAUGCAAGUCGAGCGCUGAAGGUUGGUUCUUGUUCCGACUGGCUGAGAAGCGAACGGGUGAGUAAUGCGUGGGGAAUCUGCCUUUGAGCGGGGGAUAACAUAUGGAAACGAAUGCUAAUACCGCAUAACAACUUUAAACACAAGUUUUAAGUUUGAAAGAUGCAAUUGCAUCACGUAAAGGUGAUUCAGCGUUCUGUUAGCUAGUUGGUGGGGGAAAGGCUCACCAAGGCGAUGAUACAUAGCCGGCCUGAGAGGGGAGACGGCCACAUUGGGAAUGGGGACCGGCCCAAGCCCCUGAGGGAGGCAGGAGGAGGGAAUCUUGGGCAAUGGACGAAAGGCUGACCGAGGAACGCCGCGGGAGGGGAGAAGGUUGUCGGAUCGUGAAUCGCAGUUUGUGGUGAAGAACGUUGAUGAGAGUGGAAAGGUCAGGAGGUGACGGUAGCUACACAGAAAGCGACGGCUAACUACGUG